This 631-nucleotide long non-coding RNA is filed under the name Homo sapiens (human). RNAcentral describes it as "HSALNT0002033". The record is from RNAcentral. Lineage: Eukaryota; Metazoa; Chordata; Mammalia; Primates; Hominidae.
UUCUGGUCCAAAGAUGGCUGCCACGGCUCCAGGGCUCGUUGCUUCCUUGUUCACAUCCACUAGCCAUCCAGGGCAUGGAAGGGAGGUGCACACCCGCUGUGGCCACCAGCUGCUGCCUGCAGGGCUCCUCGUCUCCAUCGAGCAGCUGUGAACCUCGCCGACUCCCAGGAUUUGUAAUCCCCACUUUCCCGUACCUAAGAGGUCAGAGAAGGUGGUGUGCAGCCACAGUUGAGGACUUCUCCCUGCGGCAUGAUGGUGGCUCAGCAACGCUAGGUGGUUGUGGAGAGGGAGGACCAUGGGCACAGCUUGGAAACUGGAAAUCCACAAAAGGUUGUUCGAGAAAUGCUCUGGGUUUGUUGGGCCUGAAACAGCAAUAUUUUUAAAAACCCCAUCUGCUGCUCAACUAAGUUUAAAAAUACCCCUUUAUAUUUUAGAUAAUAAAGCUCAAAAUUAUUCACUAUAUUAGAUACUGCUUAAUAAAAUCAUGGCCUAAUGAGCUGCCUAAUUUGUGUGUGCCAGGUUUCAACCGUCUGGGACCUGCUGGAAUAUGCUCUGAUACUAUUGAUUCCAUUGCAGGUGGAAUAAGCCUCCAUUCUGUUGCCAUGGAGGAGGCAAGAAGUUGAAUUUUCAU